Molecule: ribosomal RNA, 587 nt
Filed under: uncultured bacterium
Lineage: Bacteria
Description: partial 16S ribosomal RNA
Rfam family: Bacterial small subunit ribosomal RNA
Source: RNAcentral
UGGGGAAUUUUGGACAAUGGGCGAAAGCCUGAUCCAGCAAUGCCGCGUGUGUGAAGAAGGCCUUCGGGUUGUAAAGCACUUUUGUCCGGAAAGAAAUCCUUGGCUCUAAUACAGUCGGGGGAUGACGGUACCGGAAGAAUAAGCACCGGCUAACUACGUGCCAGCAGCCGCGGUAAUACGUAGGGUGCAAGCGUUAAUCGGAAUUACUGGGCGUAAAGCGUGCGCAGGCGGUUUGCUAAGACCGAUGUGAAAUCCCCGGGCUUAACCUGGGAGCUGCAUUUGUGACUGGCGGGCUAGAGUAUGGCAGAGGGGGGUAGAAUUCCACGUGUAGCAGUGAAAUGCGUAGAGAUGUGGAGGAAUACCGAUGGCGAAGGCAGCCCCCUGGGCCAAUACUGACGCUCAUGCACGAAAGCGUGGGGAGCAAACAGGAUUCAGAUACCCUGGUAGUCCACGCCCUAAACGAUGUCAACUAGUUGUCGGGUCUUCAUUGACUUGGUAACGUAGCUAACGCGUGAAGUUGACCGCCUGGGGAGUACGGUCGCAAGAUUAAAACUUAAAUGAAUUGACGGGGUCAUAGCUGUUUCCUG